GCUGGGGGUAGUUGCACACAUCUGUUGUCCCAGAUACUCGGGUGGCUUAGGUGGGAGGAGAGCCCAAGCCCAGGACUUCUGAGCUGUAGUGCCCUAUGUCAAUUAGGUGUCUGUACUAAGUUCAGCAUGAAUAUGAUGACCUUCAGGAGUGGGGGACCACCAGGUAGCCUAAGGAGGAGGGAAUCUGCCCAGGUCAGAAAUGGAGCAGGUCAAAACUGAUGUGCUGAUCCAUAGUGAGAUAGUCCCUAUGAAUAGCCAUGCACUCCAGCCUGGGCAGCAUAGCGAGACCCCAUCUCUA
Chlorocebus sabaeus (green monkey) is the source of this 298-nucleotide non-coding RNA. It matches the Rfam family "Metazoan signal recognition particle RNA". Rfam says of the family: The signal recognition particle (SRP) is a universally conserved ribonucleoprotein. It is involved in the co-translational targeting of proteins to membranes. NCBI's taxonomy places the organism in Eukaryota, Metazoa, Chordata, Mammalia, Primates, Cercopithecidae. The record is from Rfam.